This is a small nuclear RNA of Monodelphis domestica (gray short-tailed opossum), 105 nucleotides long. NCBI's taxonomy places the organism in Eukaryota, Metazoa, Chordata, Mammalia, Didelphimorphia, Didelphidae. The record is from Ensembl.
UCGCUUUGGCAGUGUAGAUCCUAUAAUUGGAAUGAUACAGAGAAGAUUAGCAUGACCCCUAUGCAAGGAUGGGACACCCAAAUUCAUGAAGCAUUCCAUAUUUUU